RNAcentral lists this ribosomal RNA (542 nucleotides) under uncultured archaeon. RNAcentral's name for it is "bacterial SSU rRNA". It matches the Rfam family "Archaeal small subunit ribosomal RNA", at positions 195 to 738 of the family's 1478-position model. The record is from RNAcentral.
UUUAUUGCCGUAGGAUGGGACUGCGGCCUAUCAGUUUGUUGGUGAGGUAAUGGCCCACCAAGACUAUUACAGGUACGGGCUCUGAGAGGAGUAGCCCGGAGAUGGGUACUGAGACACGGACCCAGGCCCUAUGGGGCGCAGCAGGCGAGAAAACUUUGCAAUGUGCGAAAGCACGACAAGGUUAAUCCGAGUGGUUUCUGCUAAAGGAACCUUUUGUCAGUCCUAGAAACACUGAUGAAUAAGGGGUGGGCAAGUUCUGGUGUCAGCCGCCGCGGUAAAACCAGCACCUCAAGUGGUCAGGAUGAUUAUUGGGCCUAAAGCAUCCGUAGCCUGCUUUGUAAGUUUUCGGUUAAAUCCAUACGCUCAACGUAUGGGCUGCCGGGAAUACUGCAAAGCUAGGGAGUGGGAGAGGUAGACGGUACUCGGUAGGAAGGGGUAAAAUCCUUUGAUCUAUUGAUGACCACCUGUGGCGAAGGCGGUCUACCAGAACACGUCCGACGGUGAGGGAUGAAAGCUGGGGGAGCAAACCGGAUUAGAUACCC